Molecule: long non-coding RNA, 456 nt
Organism: Ipomoea triloba (trilobed morning glory)
Lineage: Eukaryota; Viridiplantae; Streptophyta; Magnoliopsida; Solanales; Convolvulaceae
Exons: 3
Source: RefSeq, a predicted model, not a curated record
UGGAAGAUGCAGCCCCUGAUGAAGCUGUUCAACUCUACACUGAAGCCUGCACUGCUUUGGAAGAAGAUGGCAAGGACCAAAUGGCAUUUGAUCUCUAUCGUGAUGCGUCAAGGGUUUAUCUAAAGCUUGAGAAGUACGCAGAUGCUGCAACUAUUCUUUUGAGAUGGGCCUUGGCAGCUGAUAAGUGUAAUGCAACUCAUAGCCAAUGCAAGGCAUACCUCAGUGCAAUCAUUGUCUACCUAUAUGCUCAUGACUUCAAGGAAGCUGAAAAGUGCUAUAAUGAUUGUUGUCAGUAAGUUUCAAGCUUGCAUCUACUCUCAAAUAAAUGAGUUUAAUCAUUAUUUCAGCAUUGGAAUGGGAAAUAAGAGACAGUGAGCACAAUUGGUUCAUCAAGAAUGCGACUCCAACACAUAAAUUCAUGUGAAGCAAUAUCUGUUCUAUUACUUAUACUGGGAA